AGCUCAAAAGGUAGAGCUUGGUGCUGAUAAUGCCAAGGUCACGGGUUCAUUCCCCGU
This 57-nucleotide transfer RNA is filed under the name Ictidomys tridecemlineatus (thirteen-lined ground squirrel). RNAcentral describes it as "Spermophilus tridecemlineatus (thirteen-lined ground squirrel) tRNA". It matches the Rfam family "tRNA", at positions 9 to 63 of the family's 71-position model. From Rfam's summary of the family: Transfer RNA (tRNA) molecules are approximately 80 nucleotides in length. Their secondary structure includes four short double-helical elements and three loops (D, anti-codon, and T loops). Further hydrogen bonds mediate the characteristic L-shaped molecular structure. tRNAs have two regions of fundamental functional importance: the anti-codon, which is responsible for specific mRNA codon recognition, and the 3' end, to which the tRNAs corresponding amino acid is attached (by aminoacyl-tRNA synthetases). tRNAs cope with the degeneracy of the genetic code in two manners: having more than one tRNA (with a specific anti-codon) for a particular amino acid; and 'wobble' base-pairing, i.e. permitting non-standard base-pairing at the 3rd anti-codon position. Lineage: Eukaryota; Metazoa; Chordata; Mammalia; Rodentia; Sciuridae. The record is from Rfam by way of RNAcentral.